GUUCAAUCUUGUUGUAAGUCGCUCUGGAUAAGAGCGUCUGCUAAAUUCAUGUAA
This is a non-coding RNA of Salmo salar (Atlantic salmon), 54 nucleotides long. The record is from Rfam. Lineage: Eukaryota; Metazoa; Chordata; Actinopteri; Salmoniformes; Salmonidae.